UGAGGAAUAUUGCGCAAUGGGCGAAAGCCAGACGCAGCAACGCCGCGUGGAGGAAGACGGCCUUCGGGUUGUAAACUCCUUUUCUGGGGGAAGAACGAGACGGUACCCCAGGAAGAAGUCUCGGCUAACUACGUGCCAGCAGCCGCGGUAAAACGUAGGAGACGAGCGUUAUCCGGAUUUACUGGGCGUAAAGCGCGUGCAGGCGGUUGGGCAAGUCGUGCGUGAAAGCUCCUGGCUUAACCGGGAGAGGUCGUACGAAACUACCCGGCUAGAGGGCAGGCGAGGGGUGUGGAAUUCCGGGUGUAGUGGUGAAAUGCGUAGAUAUCCGGAGGAACACCAGUGGCGAAGGCGACACCCUGGACUGUACCUGACGCUCAGACGCGAAAGCAUGGGGAGCGAACGG
RNAcentral lists this ribosomal RNA (403 nucleotides) under uncultured bacterium. RNAcentral's name for it is "bacterial SSU rRNA". It matches the Rfam family "Bacterial small subunit ribosomal RNA", at positions 355 to 775 of the family's 1533-position model. The record is from RNAcentral.